RNAcentral lists this ribosomal RNA (425 nucleotides) under Acanthoscelides obtectus. Its description in RNAcentral is "partial small subunit ribosomal RNA". The record is from RNAcentral. Lineage: Eukaryota; Metazoa; Arthropoda; Insecta; Coleoptera; Chrysomelidae.
AAACUAGGGAUAGAUAACCUAUUAUUAAAAAUGUAAAUUUUUUUACUUAAUUAGUAUUAGUUAUGUUCUUGAAAAUUAAAAAAUUUGGCGGUAUUUUAGUCUUUUCAGAGGAACCUGUUCUAUAAUCGAUAGUCCACGAUUAGAUGCACUUUAUUUAUUAGUUUAUAUAUCGUCGUAGUUUAAAUAUUUUAAUAGAAUUAUAAAUAUUUAAAAUUUUUUAUUAAAAAAUAAAUCAGAUCAAGGUGUAGUUUAUAAUAAAGAAGAAAUGGGUUACAAUAAAUUUAUUUUAAAAUAAUUUUUGUUAAAAAAAUUUGAAUUUGGAUUUGAGAGUAAUUUUUUAGAUUUUUUUAAGAUGAUUAAAGCUCUAAAAUAUGUACAUAUCGCCCGUCGCUUUCAUUUUAAAAUGAAAUAAGUCGUAACAUAGU